RNAcentral lists this ribosomal RNA (405 nucleotides) under uncultured bacterium. RNAcentral's name for it is "bacterial SSU rRNA". It matches the Rfam family "Bacterial small subunit ribosomal RNA", at positions 356 to 773 of the family's 1533-position model. The record is from RNAcentral.
GGGGAAUAUUGCACAAUGGGCGAAAGCCUGAUGCAGCAACGCCGCGUGAGGGAUGACUGCCUUCGGGUUGUAAACCUCUUUUAGUAGGGAAGAAGCGAAAGUGACGGUACCUGCAGAAAAAGCACCGGCUAACUACGUGCCAGCAGCCGCGGUAAUACGUAGGGUGCAAGCGUUGUCCGGAAUUAUUGGGCGUAAAGAGCUCGUAGGCGGCUUGUCGCGUCUGCUGUGAAAUCCCGAGGCUCAACCUCGGGCCUGCAGUGGGUACGGGCAGGCUAGAGUGCGGUAGGGGAGAUUGGAAUUCCUGGUGUAGCGGUGGAAUGCGCAGAUAUCAGGAGGAACACCGAUGGCGAAGGCAGAUCUCUGGGCCGCUACUGACGCUGAGGAGCGAAAGCAUGGGGAGCGAAC